UAGCCCGGAGAAAUCCGGAUUAAUACCGCAUACGGCCCUACGGGGGAAAGCAGGGGAUCUUCGGACCUUGCGCUAUUAGAUGAGCCCGNGUCUGAUUAGCUUGUUGUGGGGUAAUGGCCUACCAAGGCGACGAUCAGUAGCUGGCUGAGAGGAUGAUCAGCCACACUGGGACUGAGACAGGCCCAGACUCCUACGGGAGGCAGCAGUGGGGAAUAUUGGACAAUGGGCGAAAGCCUGAUCCAGCAAUGCCGCGUGUGUGAAGAAGGCCUGCGGGUUGUAAAGCACUUUCAGUAGGGAAGAAAAGCCUAAGGUUAAUACCCUUGAGUCUUGACGUUACCUACAGAAGAAGCACCGGCUAACUCCGUG
RNAcentral lists this ribosomal RNA (366 nucleotides) under uncultured bacterium. Its description in RNAcentral is "bacterial SSU rRNA". It matches the Rfam family "Bacterial small subunit ribosomal RNA", at positions 144 to 507 of the family's 1533-position model. The record is from RNAcentral.